CACGUAGGGGGCAAGCGUUGUCCGGAAUCAUUGGGCGUAAAGAGCUCGUAGGCGGCUCAGUAAGUCGGGUGUGAAACCCUCAGGCUCAACCUGGGGACGCCACCCGAUACUGCUGUGGCUAGAGUCCAGUAGGGGAGUGUGGAAUUCCCGGUGUAGCGGUGAAAUGCGCAGAUAUCGGGAGGAACACCAGCGGCGAAGGCAGCUCGCUGGGACGGUACUGACGCUGAGGCGCGAAAGCGUGGGGAGCGAACAGG
RNAcentral lists this ribosomal RNA (254 nucleotides) under uncultured bacterium. RNAcentral describes it as "partial 16S ribosomal RNA". It matches the Rfam family "Bacterial small subunit ribosomal RNA", at positions 524 to 776 of the family's 1533-position model. The record is from RNAcentral.